RNAcentral lists this ribosomal RNA (253 nucleotides) under uncultured bacterium. RNAcentral's name for it is "partial 16S ribosomal RNA". It matches the Rfam family "Bacterial small subunit ribosomal RNA", at positions 524 to 776 of the family's 1533-position model. The record is from RNAcentral.
UACGUAGGGUCCGAGCGUUGUCCGGAAUUAUUGGGCGUAAAGGGCUCGUAGGCGGUUUGUCGCGUCGGGAGUGAAAACACGGGGCUUAACCCCGUGCCUGCUUCCGAUACGGGCAGACUAGAGGUAUGCAGGGGAGAACGGAAUUCCUGGUGUAGCGGUGAAAUGCGCAGAUAUCAGGAGGAACACCUGCGGCGAAGGCGGGUAGCUGGGCCGACACUGACGCUGAUGCGCGAAAGCCAGGGGAGCGAACGGG